This 1215-nucleotide ribosomal RNA is filed under the name Leuconostoc pseudomesenteroides. RNAcentral describes it as "bacterial SSU rRNA". It matches the Rfam family "Bacterial small subunit ribosomal RNA", at positions 198 to 1402 of the family's 1533-position model. The record is from RNAcentral. Lineage: Bacteria; Bacillati; Bacillota; Bacilli; Lactobacillales; Lactobacillaceae.
AGUUAAAAGGCGCUUUGGCGUCACCUAGAGAUGGAUCCGCGGUGCAUUAGUUAGUUGGUGGGGUAAAGGCCUACCAAGACAAUGAUGCAUAGCCGAGUUGAGAGACUGAUCGGCCACAUUGGGACUGAGACACGGCCCAAACUCCUACGGGAGGCUGCAGUAGGGAAUCUUCCACAAUGGGCGAAAGCCUGAUGGAGCAACGCCGCGUGUGUGAUGAAGGCUUUCGGGUCGUAAAGCACUGUUGUAUGGGAAGAACAGCUAGAAUAGGGAAUGAUUUUAGUUUGACGGUACCAUACCAGAAAGGGACGGCUAAAUACGUGCCAGCAGCCGCGGUAAUACGUAUGUCCCGAGCGUUAUCCGGAUUUAUUGGGCGUAAAGCGAGCGCAGACGGUUGAUUAAGUCUGAUGUGAAAGCCCGGAGCUCAACUCCGGAAUGGCAUUGGAAACUGGUUAACUUGAGUGCAGUAGAGGUAAGUGGAACUCCAUGUGUAGCGGUGGAAUGCGUAGAUAUAUGGAAGAACACCAGUGGCGAAGGCGGCUUACUGGACUGUAACUGACGUUGAGGCUCGAAAGUGUGGGUAGCAAACAGGAUUAGAUACCCUGGUAGUCCACACCGUAAACGAUGAACACUAGGUGUUAGGAGGUUUCCGCCUCUUAGUGCCGAAGCUAACGCAUUAAGUGUUCCGCCUGGGGAGUACGACCGCAAGGUUGAAACUCAAAGGAAUUGACGGGGACCCGCACAAGCGGUGGAGCAUGUGGUUUAAUUCGAAGCAACGCGAAGAACCUUACCAGGUCUUGACAUCCUUUGAAGCUUUUAGAGAUAGAAGUGUUCUCUUCGGAGACAAAGUGACAGGUGGUGCAUGGUCGUCGUCAGCUCGUGUCGUGAGAUGUUGGGUUAAGUCCCGCAACGAGCGCAACCCUUAUUGUUAGUUGCCAGCAUUCAGAUGGGCACUCUAGCGAGACUGCCGGUGACAAACCGGAGGAAGGCGGGGACGACGUCAGAUCAUCAUGCCCCUUAUGACCUGGGCUACACACGUGCUACAAUGGCGUAUACAACGAGUUGCCAACCCGCGAGGGUGAGCUAAUCUCUUAAAGUACGUCUCAGUUCGGAUUGUAGUCUGCAACUCGACUACAUGAAGUCGGAAUCGCUAGUAAUCGCGGAUCCGCACGCCGCGGUGAAUACGUUCCCGGGUCUUGUACACACCGCCCGUCACCC